GACGAACGCUGGCGGCGUGCCUAAUACAUGCAAGUCGAACGCUUUGAUUUUCACCGGAGCUUGCUCCACCGAAAAUCAAAGAGUGGCGGACGGGUGAGUAACACGUGGGCAACCUGCCCAACAGAGGGGGAUAACACUUGGAAACAGGUGCUAAUACCGCAUAAUUUGUUUUUCCGCAUGGAAGAAUAAUAAAAGACGCUUCGGUGUCACUGUUGGAUGGGCCCGCGCUGCAUUAGUUAGUUGGUGGGGUAACGGCCUACCAAGACCAUGAUGCAUAGCCGACCUGAGAGGGUGAUCGGCCACACUGGGACUGAGACACGGCCCAGACUCCUACGGGAGGCAGCAGUAGGGAAUCUUCGGCAAUGGACGAAAGUCUGACCGAGCAACGCCGCGUGAGUGAAGAAGGUUUUCGGAUCGUAAAACUCUGUUGUUAGAGAAGAACAAGUGAGAGAGUUACUGUUCUCACCUUGACGGUAUCUAACCAGAAAGUCACGGCUAACUACGUGCCAGCAGCCGCGGUAAUACGUAGGUGGCAAGCGUUGUCCGGAUUUAUUGGGCGUAAAGCGAGCGCAGGCGGUUUCUUAAGUCUGAUGUGAAAGCCCUCGGCUCAACCGAGGAAGGUCAUUGGAAACUGGGGAACUUGAGUGCAGAAGAGGAGAGUGGAAUUCCAUGUGUAGCGGUGAAAUGCGUAGAUAUAUGGAGGAACACCAGUGGCGAAGGCGACUCUCUGGUCUGUAACUGACGCUGAGGCUCGAAAGCGUGGGGAGCAAACAGG
Molecule: ribosomal RNA, 775 nt
Filed under: uncultured bacterium
Lineage: Bacteria
Description: bacterial SSU rRNA
Rfam family: Bacterial small subunit ribosomal RNA
Source: RNAcentral